RNAcentral lists this ribosomal RNA (429 nucleotides) under Actinomycetes bacterium. RNAcentral's name for it is "Actinobacteria bacterium partial 16S ribosomal RNA". It matches the Rfam family "Bacterial small subunit ribosomal RNA", at positions 355 to 776 of the family's 1533-position model. The record is from RNAcentral. Lineage: Bacteria; Bacillati; Actinomycetota; Actinomycetes.
UAGGGAAUUUUCCGCAAUGGGCGAAAGCCUGACGGAGCAACGCCGCGUGUGUGAUGAAGGUCUUCGGAUCGUAAAACUCUGUUAUUAGGGAAGAACAAAUGUGUAAGUAACUAUGCACGUCUUGACGGUACCUAAUCAGAAAGCAACGGCUAACUACGUGCCAGCAGCCGCGGUAAUACGUAGGUGGCAAGCGUUAUCCGGAAUUAUUGGGCGUAAAGCGCGCGUAGGCGGUUUUUUAAGUCUGAUGUGAAAGCCCACGGCUAAACCGUGGAGGGUCAUUGGAAACUGGAAAGCUUGAGUGCAGAAGAGGAAAGUGGAAUUCCAGGUGUAGCGGUGAAAUGCGCAGAGAUAUGGAGGAACACCAGUGGCGAAGGCGACUUUCUGGUCUGAAACUGACGCUGAUGUGCGAAAGCGUGGGGAUCAAACAGG